This 608-nucleotide ribosomal RNA is filed under the name Lichtheimia ramosa. RNAcentral describes it as "eukaryotic LSU rRNA". It matches the Rfam family "Eukaryotic large subunit ribosomal RNA", at positions 107 to 612 of the family's 3401-position model. Lineage: Eukaryota; Fungi; Mucoromycota; Mucoromycetes; Mucorales; Lichtheimiaceae. The record is from RNAcentral.
GCUCAAAGUUGGAACCUGGCUGCCCUAGGCAGUCCGGAUUGUAAACUAAAGAGCGUGAUUCCAGGCAAGCCGGUUGAUCAAGUCCUUUGGAAUGAGGCGCCACUGAGGGUGAGAGCCCCGUAAGUCGACUGAGCAUUUGUCUUUUGUGUUUCGCGUUCAAAGAGUCAGGUUGUUUGGGAAUGCAGCCUAAAGCUGGUGGUAAAUCCCACCUAAAGCUAAAUACAGGCGAGAGACCGAUAGCGAACAAGUACCGUGAGGGAAAGAUGAAAAGAACUUUGAAAAGAGAGUUAAACAGUAUGUGAAAUUGCCAAGAGGGAAGCAUUUGGAGUUAGAUUGACUAGGAGUUAAUCAGCUUGGUCUUUGGACUGGGUGUACUUGACUUCUAUUGGUCUGCCAAUAGCAGUUAGUCCUAGUGGAAAAAACCAGAGGGAAGGUAGUCCUUCGGGAUGUUUAUAGACCUUUGGAAAAUACACUGGGAUUGACUGAGGAAUGCAGUAGAUGCCACUAAGGCUUCGUCUAGUGGGUGCUAGGCAAAGGUACUUGGUAUUUUCAGCUUGCUGAUGUGCUAGGUUACUCGAGUCUAGUCGCCUACUAGAACUGUAAUCUAC